CUGCUGCCUCCCGUAGGAGUCUGGUCCGUGUCUCAGUACCAGUGUGGGGGACCUUCCUCUCAGAACCCCUACGCAUCGUCGCCUCGGUGGGCCGUUACCCCGCCGACUAGCUAAUGCGACGCAUGGCCAUCCUAUGCCGGAGUCGCCUCCUUUGACCCCCUGGAGAUGUCUCCAAAUGGUGUUAUGCGGUAUUAGACGGAAUUUCUUCCGCUUAUCCCCCCUGCAUAGGGCAGGUUCCAUACGUGUUACUCACCCGUGCG
Molecule: ribosomal RNA, 260 nt
Filed under: uncultured bacterium
Lineage: Bacteria
Description: partial 16S ribosomal RNA
Source: RNAcentral